CUGCGUAGGUGGCAUAGUAAGUAGAUGGUGAAAUCCUGGGGCUCAACCCCUUCAACAUCAUCUAAACUGCUAAGCUAGAGGGCGAGAGAGGUAGCUGGAAUUCCUUGUGUAGGAGUGAAAUCCGUAGAUAUAAGGAGGAACACCGAUGGCGUAGGCAGGCUACUGGCUCGACCCUGACACUAAGGCACGAAAGCGUGGGGAGCGACCG
Molecule: ribosomal RNA, 208 nt
Filed under: uncultured bacterium
Lineage: Bacteria
Description: partial 16S ribosomal RNA
Rfam family: Bacterial small subunit ribosomal RNA
Source: RNAcentral